ACGCGAAGAACCUUACCCUGGGCUCGAAAUGCUAUGGACAGAUACAUGUGAAAGCAGAUCUUCUCGCAAGAGACCGUAGUAUAGGUGCUGCAUGGCUGUCGUCAGCUCGUGUCGUGAGAUGUUGGGUUAAGUCCCGCAACGAGCGCAACCCUUGUCCUGUGUUGCCACUCCCGUAAGGGAAGCACUCUCAGGAGACCGCCAGCGAUAAGUUGGAGGAAGGUGGGGAUGAUGUCAAGUCAUCAUGGCCUUUAUGUCCAGGGCUACACACGUGCUACAAUGGACGGUACAAAGCGCUGCAAACCCGCGAGGGGGAGCCAAUCGCAAAAAACCGUUCUCAGUUCGGAUCGACAAGGCUGCAACUCGCCUGCAAAUGAAGCUGGAAUCGCUAGUAAUGGCGUAUCAGAACGAUGCCGUGAAUACGUUCCGCGGGUCUUGUACACACCG
RNAcentral lists this ribosomal RNA (444 nucleotides) under uncultured bacterium. Its description in RNAcentral is "bacterial SSU rRNA". It matches the Rfam family "Bacterial small subunit ribosomal RNA", at positions 959 to 1392 of the family's 1533-position model. The record is from RNAcentral.